Molecule: ribosomal RNA, 253 nt
Filed under: uncultured bacterium
Lineage: Bacteria
Description: partial 16S ribosomal RNA
Rfam family: Bacterial small subunit ribosomal RNA
Source: RNAcentral
UACGAAGGGGGCAAGCGUUGUUCGGAAUUACUGGGCGUAAAGGGCGCGUAGGCGGCCGAUCAAGUCAGGCGUGAAAUUCCCGGGCUCAACCUGGGGGCUGCGCUUGAUACUGAUUGGCUUGAAUGCGGGAGAGGAUAGUGGAAUUCCCAGUGUAGAGGUGAAAUUCGUAGAUAUUGGGAAGAACACCGGUGGCGAAGGCGGCUAUCUGGCCCGUAAUUGACGCUGUGGCGCGAAAGCGUGGGGAGCAAACAGG